GAUUUAACAUUUCAAUCUAUUUAUUUACAUUAAUUAAUACAAAUUUUCUAAAAUAUAAAAAGAUAUUUAUAAAAAAAAAAGACGAUAAGACCCUAUCGAACUUAACUUAAGUUAAACUGGGGUAGUAAAUUAAUUAUUAUUUUAAUAAAAAUUUUUAAACAAAUAUCCAUUUCAAUUGAAUUAUUCAGUUACCGUAGGGAUAACAGCGCAAUUAUAUUUUAAAGCUYUUAUAUAAAAAAUAGAUUACGACCUCGAUGUUGAAUUAAUAACCUAAUUUUAAAGCAAAUAUUAAUAUAGGAAGUCUGUUCGACUUUUAAACAAUUACAUGAUUUGAGUUCAGACCGGUGUAAGCCAGGUCGGCUUCUAUCUUUUAUAAAAAUUCUUACAGUACGAAAGGACCUAAAAACUUAAUUUAAUUAAUUAAUUAAUUGGCAGAUUAAUGCAUUAGAAUUAGAAUCUAAUUAAACUUAAU
This 472-nucleotide ribosomal RNA is filed under the name Thyenula wesolowskae. RNAcentral describes it as "partial 16S ribosomal RNA". The stretch from base 76 to 372 matches the Rfam family "Bacterial large subunit ribosomal RNA", at positions 2074 to 2646 of the family's 2925-position model. The record is from RNAcentral. Lineage: Eukaryota; Metazoa; Arthropoda; Arachnida; Araneae; Salticidae.